AAAAGGGUACAUUUUAUCCUUUUAAAAGGGUUAAAACUAUCCUUUGAAUACACCUCGCUGGUAUUACCCUUUUAAAAGGGUAUUUCCCUUUGCGUACAAAGUGGCGCCACUUCGUCUCAACUCGCGAACUAUAUUUGUAAAUAGAUUUGACAGAUCAAAGCAAUUUGCCGUAAAAUUUCACGUCCUCUCUUGCUCCUCUGCAUUUUCCGCGUUUUUCCGCGUAAUUUUCGCGAGUUGGUAGAAGUUUGAGGUGAUCCUGAUUAGUGAUUUGUGCAGGUGAUUCAUUUUGCUGGUUUCCGAAGUUUUUUUUUGGAAAACGCAGACUCAAGUCAACAUGGAUGGAGUUUAUGAUGCUGUGGGAAACGAAAUCGCGAGCGUUUUCAAAGAAUUUGUGCAAUUUCUACUCUCUCGAUCGGGCUGGAGCAAUCUGUUGAUUUAAGGUGUUACAAUGAAAAAAUCUGGCUAAUCAAUCUGUAUGCAGCUCAGGGCGAUGGAAGUCGGCAGAAUCGGUGACGUGCUAAAACCGUUCAACCCCUGUGAAAAGUUGUACCUGUCUUGAAGUCAUUCGAGACAGUUUGUUGCUGGACGCGAAUCGGCAUUUGAUUAUUAUAGUAAUGAUAGGAUUAUGUCGAACUGUACAUAGAGUUGUAAGCAAUAAAAACGGUCAAAUCAAAA
Long non-coding RNA from Culex pipiens pallens (northern house mosquito), 675 nucleotides. RefSeq lists it as uncharacterized. NCBI's taxonomy places the organism in Eukaryota, Metazoa, Arthropoda, Insecta, Diptera, Culicidae. The record is from RefSeq and is a predicted model, not a curated record. The transcript has 4 exons.